GAUGAAGAACGCAGCGAAUUGCGAUAAGUAAUGUGAAUUGCAGAUUUUCAGUGAACCAUCGAAUCUUUGAACGCACAUUGCGCCCGGUAGUAAUCUGCCGGGCAUGCCUGUCCGAGCGUCAUUUCUCCCCUCGAGCGCGGCUUCACGGCCGACGCCCGGUGUUGGGGCGCUACGGGAGGAGCCUCGCGCUCCCCCCGUAGGCCCCGAAAUGAAGUGGCGGUCCCGCCGCGGCGCCCCCUGCGUAGUAGUUUUACAACUCGCAUCGGGUCCCGGUGGAGGCCAGCCGUCAAACCCCCAACUCAACAGUUUGACCUCGGAUCAGGUAGGGUUACCCGCUGAACUUAAGCAUAUCAAUAAGCGGAGGA
RNAcentral lists this unclassified non-coding RNA (365 nucleotides) under soil metagenome. RNAcentral describes it as "partial contains 5.8S ribosomal RNA, internal transcribed spacer 2, and large subunit ribosomal RNA". The stretch from base 1 to 121 matches the Rfam family "5.8S ribosomal RNA", at positions 35 to 154 of the family's 154-position model. The record is from RNAcentral.